This 253-nucleotide ribosomal RNA is filed under the name uncultured bacterium. Its description in RNAcentral is "partial 16S ribosomal RNA". It matches the Rfam family "Bacterial small subunit ribosomal RNA", at positions 524 to 776 of the family's 1533-position model. The record is from RNAcentral.
UACAGAGGGGGCGAGCGUUGUUCGGAAUUACUGGGCGUAAAGGGCGCGUAGGCGGCCCGCUAAGUCGAACGUGAAAUCCCCAGGCUCAACCUGGGAACUGCGUCCGAUACUGGUGGGCUCGAAUCCGGGAGAGGGAUGUGGAAUUCCAGGUGUAGCGGUGAAAUGCGUAGAUAUCUGGAGGAACACCGAUGGCGAAGGCAGCCCCCUGGGUUAACACUGACGCUCAGGCACGAAAGCGUGGGGAGCAAACAGG